CCCUUCUCUUUUUUCCCAACAGCUGCAUGGCCUUUCCUGGCUCCAUGGCCCUGAUUCAGCCAGAUUCGAGGCUCUCAGGGUGCAGAUGACACCCGGACUCCAUGUUGCCUUAAAGCAGUCCACACUGCCCAGGUCUCCAGAGAAAACCGCAAAGAUCUGUAACUCCGACUAUGUCUUGGGGAAGUGGAGAAAUAAUGAGAUUGCUGCAGUGGCAUCCAGGACUGUCAGUGGAAGUGGGGAAUGACAUGACACCACCUUUCGGACACCCAACUGGCAAGAGGUAAAAGAGGAAGGGACAGUCAGCCCACUGUAUACAAUGACAUGCAAGACCUAACUCUCACGUUGGUUCAACCCAAACCAGCGAGAAGCAAUCUAUGGUCAUACUGAGUCUUGGGCCCAGUCUAAACGGUGGAGCU
RNAcentral lists this long non-coding RNA (416 nucleotides) under Sus scrofa (pig). Its description in RNAcentral is "lncRNA (ENSSSCG00070005804.1)". The record is from RNAcentral. Lineage: Eukaryota; Metazoa; Chordata; Mammalia; Artiodactyla; Suidae.